This 254-nucleotide ribosomal RNA is filed under the name uncultured bacterium. Its description in RNAcentral is "partial 16S ribosomal RNA". It matches the Rfam family "Bacterial small subunit ribosomal RNA", at positions 524 to 776 of the family's 1533-position model. The record is from RNAcentral.
UACGGGGGGAGCAAGCGUUGUUCGGAUUUACUGGGCGUAAAGGGCGCGUAGGCGGCCACCGCAAGUCGACUGUGAAAUCUCCGGGCUUAACCCGGAGAGGUCAGCCGAUACUGCGGGGCUAGAGUGCAGAAGGGGCAACUGGAAUUCUCGGUGUAGCGGUGAAAUGCGUAGAUAUCGAGAGGAACACCUGCGGCGAAGGCGGGUUGCUGGGCUGACACUGACGCUGAGGCGCGAAAGCUAGGGUAGCAAACGGG